UGUCUGGAAUCCCGAAGAGAUUUGGGAGUGCUCGCAAGAGAACCGGAACACAGGUGCUGCAUGGCUGUCGUCAGCUCGUGUCGUGAGAUGUUGGGUUAAGUCCCGCAACGAGCGCAACCCUUGCCAUUAGUUGCUACAUUCAGUUGGGCACUCUAAUGGGACUGCCGGUGACAAACCGGAGGAAGGUGGGGAUGACGUCAAGUCCUCAUGGCCCUUAUGGGUAGGGCUUCACACGUCAUACAAUGGUCGGGACAGAGGGUUGCCAAGCCGUGAGGUGGAGUCAAUCUCAGAAACCCGAUCGUAGUCCGGAUCGCAGUCUGCAACUCGACUGCGUGAAGUCGGAAUCGCUAGUAAUCGCGGAUCAGCAUGUCGCGGUGAAUACGUUCCCGGGUCUUGUACACACCGCCCGUCACACCAUGGGAGUGGGUUUCACCAGAAGUAGGUAGCCUAACCGCAAGGAGGGCGCUUACCACGGUGAGAUUCAUGACUGGGGUGAAGUCGUAACAAGGUAAGCGUAGUGCU
Molecule: ribosomal RNA, 522 nt
Filed under: uncultured bacterium
Lineage: Bacteria
Description: bacterial SSU rRNA
Rfam family: Bacterial small subunit ribosomal RNA
Source: RNAcentral